Long non-coding RNA from Zonotrichia leucophrys gambelii, 4162 nucleotides. RefSeq lists it as uncharacterized. Lineage: Eukaryota; Metazoa; Chordata; Aves; Passeriformes; Passerellidae. The transcript is spliced from 8 exons. The record is from RefSeq and is a predicted model, not a curated record.
GCGCGGUGGAAAAAAUCCGCUGGGAACUCGCGCAACGCCCACCGGCGGCGGAGGCUGCGCCCGGUUCAAAGAUGGCGGCGCCCUGAGUGGCACCUGAGGGAUGCCUCCCAGACCCAAGCUGGCGCCAGUAGCAACUCGGGCUGGUUUGACAGUCCUGCAAUCUGCCGUCAGGAACCGGGACUGGUGUUGCUUGUUGUAUGCUACACUAAGCCCAAUGAGAAGAAGGGGCACUGUGCUCUUUUUGCAACAAUAGCCUUGGAAGCUGUUCCACCUCUCGGCCUGGCUGGACUUCUCCUGAGUUUCAGAGGGUCUCCCACAGAACACCUUCACCUGUUUUACAACCACUGUGACAGACAGACUGAGAUGUAAGAAGCCUCUCCAUCAAGGACUGAGACAUGAAACCCCUAUGUGAGAAGGCUCCUUUCUGCUCCUUACAAGGACUGGGACUGAAAUCCCCAACCCAGAGGAGGUGUGUGUGGGAGGCAAGCUGACCAAACCAAGAUGUUUGCCUGCAGCUUGUGACCACUGGACCAAGAAAACAAUGGCUCUCAUUUACUGCUGAGAACAUGGACUAACUGUUACAUCUAUUCCUUAUUGUAUCUGUCUCCUCCCCCCCCUCACAAUUUUCAAUAGAAUUAUCAUAAUAAAAAUCUCUGAGUUAGCUGGAGAUUUUGAGAUCUCCCCAACGUAACAGGCGGAUCCUCGACUGGACUUGACCAAAGGACUUCGUCUCUACAUUUGCAGGUGUUUCUGGGUAUCUAAAGCAACAGAGGCAUGGAAGAUUCUGUGAAGAAAGCAGCAUGGAAUACAGGGAGUAUUUAAGUUCAUGAUUUUGGGUUUUGUGUUUAGGGUUGGUAAACCUCAUUUGUAAUUUCUGGUGUUGUUCUUGGUGGUUUUUUGGUGGGUUUUGUUUUUUUGGUGGGUUUUGCUGUUUGUUUUUUUGGUUGUUGUUUUUUUGGGUUUUUUUGGUGUGGAGUUUUUUUAGUUUUUUUUUUGGGGGGGGGAGUUGGUUUUGUUUGGGGGGUUGGGUUUUUUUUUGUAUUUUGAGGAGUGCAACUCCCUUAAAUUCCAGCUUGUGUCAGGCAUAACACUUGUUUCAGCAGAUUUGUCAUGUCACAAAGGGGAUCUAACCAGUGUCAAGGAUGGUCCUUGAGACUGAGGCUUCAGAUGAAUUGAGGAUUGUGGCUAGGAGGGGAGGGUGAGCAGGUAUCCAGUUAGGAGUUAUUGGAGGAGGGGGGGGUUUGAGGGCACAUUGCAUCCAUGGCAGAGGGUCAGGGUUAGGAGGUGCUGGGCAUUCCUAGGAGCACGGUGAGUAGCAGACUGGUGGGGUUUUGGGUGAUGUGGUGCCAAGAUCAGGCACUGAUGUUUGGUUCUCUUUAAUACAGCUGUCUGAGAGACACCAGCCAAGUGCCAGCAGGACCUUCCCAGCUGGCGAGGUGGCCUUUCUUUGCACCUGACAGGGAUCAGCAUCCCCUGAUGUCUGAGAGAUAAGUAGAGGGCUAAGGCCCACAGAGGGGAUGAAAGCAGGGUGCUGGUUUGGGAAUUACUAGGAGGGGUUUUGGAGUCCACUUUGGAGGUGGGGCGUGUUCAUGAAGUGGCCCUUUAGGCCCCAUAAAAGCAAAGUCUCACUUUUGAUCACAGAGCUGAGGUGUGCAGCAGGGCAGAACAGUCACGGUGUGUCUCGUGUCACUUGUCUAUUGUGCAUUAUGUGUUGUUUGGGUGUGUCAUGUCUUUUACCUUAGCCCUUUGAGGAGCCUGUCAGAAACCCUGGCAUCAUUGUUAGCAUCUGUGAUCUCUGCAUUCCUUGGCCUGGCACCCAGGCCAUAGAACUUUUGACUCGGGAGUUCAGACAGGCAUCAGACUCUCUUCUGUCUUUAGAAGCAUCCAGUCAGAUGUCUUUUCAGGUCUUGUUCUGAGUUAUAUGGACAGCUAUGCCCCACCUGGAUCCAUUAUGGUGGAUUGGGGCUUGUAAUAAUAUGAGGUCAGUUAGAGGAUUCUGACCAUAGGACUCCUAGGCAUCCAUCUUUCCUGUUCUUGGAAUAAAUCAUCCAGUUUAGCAUCUUCUUCCUCCAGGGUUCUCUGAGCCUCAUCAGCUCACCAUCGGUCUUACCUCGGUCAUCUUUUUGCAUUCUCUCAGUCCUUGCAGCCAUUUUCCUUGCCAAGAGAUUUCUGUUCCUGUUGUGUCCUCGUUGUCUGUCACGUCCUAUCCCGUGUCAUGGGUGUCAGCCCACAUUUGUGCCGGAGCUGCUCUGCCCUGCCGCAUAGCCUGGUGCAAUAGGAGAAGUCCUGGGGACUUGAAGUUCGUAUUGUGAGGCGUAGGUGGACUCUAGAUGGGAUUUGUAAAUGGACGCAAGAUAUCUGGAGCCCUUAAGUUAUCCUGCAGCCCUUUGACUCUUGUCCUAACUUUCUUUCAGAUGCAGAAGGAUAAAAUCCAGGGCAGAGUACCCCAUCCCAGGAAGUCAAGGGCCAGAGCAGCAGUCAAGACCGAGUGGGCAAGGUCGUCCACUUGCAGUCUAUCCUAGCUGAGCACACCCAUGCCAGGUGCUGUCCUAGGCAUGCCCAGGAACAGAGAAGGGCAGGCGAGUUGACGUUUAGGCAGGCUGACUCAUAGGUCCCCUGAGGAGGCUUGUAGCCAAAGCUUGGAAAUGGCAGCACCGAAGCACACAUGGAGCACAUCUCAACGUCCACAUCCAGCCGAGGAUGGAUUUUGUCCACUCCUCUUCCUAAAGCUGAGUGUCGGGGCCAGUGGUUGGGAGAAGGGGAAAAACCUUUACUGUCACAGGAGGCAAUCUGAUGUCAGCUUAGUGGAGAGGUCUGUAGUGGGACAGGCUCUCUGGAAGUAAAGGGAGAGGGUUUCUCCUUGGCCUCACCAGAGCCUUUGCCAGGCAGGGCAUUCCGACCCAUCUCCACAUUCUCGUGAACUUUGCGUCGUCAGCCUUCCUCGACUCGACACCGUCAUGGAUCUUUACCCCGAGGAGCUCGCCUUCAGGUCUGGAGCUAUAGCCACGGUCACCUGGCAGUCUGCUUCCUUCUCUAGGCUUGCUCCUUCCCUCUCGAGCAUCCUCUUAACUGCUUUGGCACUAACUUCUUUUAACGAGUUAUAUUUCAUCAUCACAUGCUAUUGUCAUAGGGCUUCCUUUGCUUUGGCAUCAUCAGCCUCUGGCUCAUCUGCUAGGAAUCUCAGGUAACUAAGGGGAAAGUGCCAGGCAGUUGCCAUUUGUCUCUGUUAUGUUAUCUGUGUCUAUGUUAUGUCGUCCGUGUCUGUGGUAUGUAGUGUGUGUCCAUUGUCUUCCACCUCAUAGGCCUUUGUAACGUCUCGAUGCUUGAUCGGCACUCUUCUGUGCCAUAUAGGCCAUGUUCUACUCACAUUCCUUUCUGGAUAUCCCUUAUUCUGGCAUCUUUAAAUUUUUACUCUUUGAGACAGGAAUGUCUCACAGGGACAAGAUGUUCUCAUCCAUCUUCCCUCUCACUACCAGCUUCGGUAGUGCCUUUUUUCCAUUUUCUUGGACUUCUAGAGGGAGCGUCUUGCACCCGUCUCACGUGACUGCAGUAGUUCUAUAGAUUCCAUCUUCUCAAAGGGUAUAGGGCUCAAGAAUUCAUCUUCCAGAGAGUUAUCUCCAGUCCUGGCUUGUAUUGUAUGUACCUAUAUUGUGUGUACCUAUAUUGACCUAUAUUGUAUGUACUCACAUUGUAUGUAUCUAUGCUGGCUUGUACUGUAUGUACUUAUAUUGUAUGUACCUAUGUUGGCUUAUACUGUGUGUACUUACACUGUAUGUAAGCGCGUCGCCCUAUAUUAUGUGUAUUUACACUCUGUAUACUUGCACUGUAUGCAUCAGCUUAUAUUGUGUGUACAUACAUUGUACCACUUAUGGUUGGGCUGCCCUGCCCUGGUACGUAGUCACAGUUAGGUAGAACAGUUAUAGAAAUUUUACUGUUCAACUGUCUUCUGUGGGAUUUUGGGUAGAAAACUUAUCAGUCCAGAUUGAAGACAAGUCCUAGCUGUCAGAUACCCGCUCAUUGAUCCCUUCCUGUCAUCUCACAGGUCCCCGAGGCUACCGAUUUCCCUGGAAUCUACCAUUUGAAGUCAAGGAGCAGCAGCCAGAAGAUGCGUCAAAGCACGUUCCUCAGAGUCGUGAGUAAGGGCCGCAGCGAGCGUGUAAGU